This 210-nucleotide transfer-messenger RNA is filed under the name Paracoccaceae bacterium. RNAcentral's name for it is "Rhodobacteraceae bacterium partial transfer-messenger RNA". It matches the Rfam family "Alphaproteobacteria transfer-messenger RNA", at positions 148 to 355 of the family's 355-position model. From Rfam's summary of the family: Bacterial tmRNA, also known as 10Sa RNA or SsrA, is named for its dual tRNA and mRNA-like properties. Its role is to liberate the mRNA from a stalled ribosome. The record is from RNAcentral. Lineage: Bacteria; Pseudomonadati; Pseudomonadota; Alphaproteobacteria; Rhodobacterales; Paracoccaceae.
GGGGCCGAAAUAGGAUCGACGAACGUCUAAAGAUGUUAGCUUUUACUCGGCGGGAUGGCCACCGAUAUCGGCGCAAAACGUAUAGUUGCAAAUGACAAUUAUGCUCCGGUAGCAGUUGCUGCUUAAGCAGUAACCAAACCGAAACCUAAGUCCAGUCCGAUAGCUCGCACUGGCGGGGUUCGCAGGCACCUGGCAACAGAAGCCUGCACU